This 440-nucleotide ribosomal RNA is filed under the name uncultured bacterium. Its description in RNAcentral is "partial 16S ribosomal RNA". It matches the Rfam family "Bacterial small subunit ribosomal RNA", at positions 338 to 795 of the family's 1533-position model. The record is from RNAcentral.
CCUACGGGAGGCAGCAGUGGGGGAUAUUGCACAAUGGGGGGUACCCUGAUGCAGCGACGCAGCGUGGGUGAAGAAGCGCCUCGGCGCGUAAAGCCCUGUCAGCAGGGAAGAAAAUGACGGUACCUGAAGAAGAAGCCCCGGCUAACUACGUGCCAGCAGCCGCGGUACUACGUAGGGGGCAAGCGUUAUCCGGAUUUACUGGGUGUAAAGGGGGCGCAGUCGGCGAUGCAAGCCAGGAGUGAAAGCCCGGGGCCCAACCCCGGGACUGCACUUGAAACUGCGUGGCUGGAGUGCAGGAGGGGCAGGCGGAAUUGCUGGUGUAGCGGUGAAAUGCGUAGAUAUCAGGAGGAACACCGGUGGCGAAGGCGGCCUGCUGGACUGCAACUGACGUUGAGGCCCGAAAGCGUGGGGAGCAAACAGGAUUAGAUACCCCGGUAGUC